AGGACGAACGCUGGCGGUGUGCUUCACACAUGCAAGUCGAACGAGGUAGCAAUACCUAGUGGCGGACGGGUGAGUAACGCGUGGGAAUCUGCCUUAGAAUGGGGGAUAACGGUCCGAAAGGAUCGCUAAUACCGCAUAGGCCGCAAGGUUAAAGGAGUAAUCCGUUCUAAGAUGAGCCCGCGUCCGAUUAGCUAGUUGGUAAGGUAAAGGCUUACCAAGGCGACGAUCGGUAGCUGGUCUGAGAGGAUGAUCAGCCACAAUGGGACUGAGACACGGCCCCAUACUCCUACGGGAGGCAGCAGUGGGGAAUUUUACGCAAUGGGCGAAAGCCUGACGUAGCGACACCGCGUGAACGAGAAGCCUCUUGGGGUGUAAAGUUCUGUCAGCUGGAACGAAAAAAAUGACGGUACCAGCAAAGGAAGCAUCGGCUAACUACGUGCCAGCAGCCGC
RNAcentral lists this ribosomal RNA (450 nucleotides) under uncultured bacterium. Its description in RNAcentral is "SSU rRNA". It matches the Rfam family "Bacterial small subunit ribosomal RNA", at positions 26 to 518 of the family's 1533-position model. The record is from RNAcentral.